AUUAAUUUUUGGUUCAUAAGUGUGAUGAUGGGAUAUUCACACAUUAUGGGACAUGUCCCUCCCACAGACCUUGUUACAAUAUUAGCAAUUACAUAUGAGAAA
Mus musculus (house mouse) is the source of this 102-nucleotide non-coding RNA. Lineage: Eukaryota; Metazoa; Chordata; Mammalia; Rodentia; Muridae. The record is from Rfam.